UACAGAGGGGGCAAGCGUUAUUCGGAAUUAUUGGGCGUAAAGGGCGCGUAGGCGGCCUUGCAAGUGACGGGUGAAAUCCCCGGGCUUAACCUGGGAACUGCAUUUGGGACUGCAAGGCUUGAGUGCGGCAGAGGAGACUGGAAUUCCUGGUGUAGCAGUGAAAUGCGUAGAUAUCAGGAGGAAUACCGAUGGCGAAGGCAGGUCUCUGGGCUGACACUGACGCUCAUGCACGAAAGCGUGGGGAGCAAACAGG
This 253-nucleotide ribosomal RNA is filed under the name uncultured bacterium. Its description in RNAcentral is "partial 16S ribosomal RNA". It matches the Rfam family "Bacterial small subunit ribosomal RNA", at positions 524 to 776 of the family's 1533-position model. The record is from RNAcentral.